Molecule: ribosomal RNA, 619 nt
Filed under: uncultured marine bacterium
Lineage: Bacteria
Description: bacterial SSU rRNA
Rfam family: Bacterial small subunit ribosomal RNA
Source: RNAcentral
AGAGUUUGAUCAUGGCUCAGGAUGAACGUUGGCGGCGUGCCUAAUACAUGCAAGUCGAACGGUAGGUAAGCACUUGUGCUUACUGAGAGUGGCGCACGGGUGAGUAACACGUAACUGAUCUGCCCUGUAGACUGGGAUAACCUUUGGAAACAGAGGCUAAUACCGGAUGAGCUCGUGAGGUUUAGAGAAUCACGAGGAAAAGCUGAGGUGCUAUAGGAUGAGGUUGCGAUUCAUCAGCUAGUUGGUGGGGUAAAGGCUCACCAAGGCGAUGACGGAUAGGGGAUCUGAGAGGGUGGCCCCCCACACUGGGACUGAGACACGGCCCAGACUCCUACGGGAGGCAGCAGUAAGGGAUAUUGCACAAUGGACGGAAGUCUGAUGCAGCGACGCCGCGUGGGCGAAGAAGGUUUUCGGAUCGUAAAGUCCUUUUCUAUGUGACGAGAAUGGACGGUAGCAUAGGAAUAAGUGUCGGCUAACUACGUGCCAGCAGCCGCGGUAAAACGUAGGACGCGAACGUUAUCCGGAGUUACUGGGCGUAAAGCGCGCGCGCGCGGUGAGUUAAAAUUACCUAUGAAAGGUACCCGGCUAAACUGUUAUAAGUUAGGUGAACCUGGCUUAU